UGAAGUAACCGGCGUGAACGGAACCUCGUCCGUUCGGGAGGGACAACAGUGGAACGACUGCUAAUACCGCAUGAUACAUCGAAGCCGCAUGGCUUUGAUGUCAAAGAUUUAUCGCCGAAAGAUGGCCUCGCGUCUGAUUAGCUUGUUAGUGAGGUAACGGCUCACCAAGGCGACGAUCAGUAGCCGGACUGGGAGGUUGGCCGGCCACAUUGGGACUGAGAUACGGCCCAGACUCCUACGGAAGGCAGCAG
Molecule: ribosomal RNA, 251 nt
Filed under: uncultured bacterium
Lineage: Bacteria
Description: partial 16S ribosomal RNA
Rfam family: Bacterial small subunit ribosomal RNA
Source: RNAcentral